GUAGAUUAUAUUUAUUAAUUUUAUAAGUUUUGUUUUAAAAUAUUAAAAAUAAUUAUAAUUUUUAUAGUUUUAGUAUUUUUUAAAGAAAAAAUAAAUUUAAUAAUAGUUUAAUAGUAUUGUAAAAGAAAAUUGAAAUAAUUUGAAAAAUUCCUUA
RNAcentral lists this ribosomal RNA (154 nucleotides) under Drosophila pulaua. Its description in RNAcentral is "partial 16S ribosomal RNA". Lineage: Eukaryota; Metazoa; Arthropoda; Insecta; Diptera; Drosophilidae. The record is from RNAcentral.